Molecule: transfer RNA, 65 nt
Filed under: Marmota monax (woodchuck)
Lineage: Eukaryota; Metazoa; Chordata; Mammalia; Rodentia; Sciuridae
Description: tRNA.Asp
Source: RNAcentral
GAUGUAGCUCAGUGGCAGAGCACUUGCCUGUCAUGCCUGAGGCCCCAAGUUCAAUCCCUAGCACA